GAAUAUGGCAUAUGGCAGGAACCUGCCCAAGAUAACUUAAUGUCAUGAAGAUGAGAAUGGCUCAGUACUGGAAUGGUAUUAGGAUGCUUUUAUGUCUGUAAUGUAGGUAUAAUGUACCUAUCACAGGAAUUAUUGAAUAAGCACAAGUAACAUUGUAAACUUUGAGCCAUAAAACACUAAUACAUGAUAAAAGAGUGCAAAAACUGAAUUAUUGUUGUUUUCAAUUCAUAUACUUAUCUAUUUGUUAAUUCCAGAGCUAAGCAAAAAUAGCAACAAAGAAAUAAUAUUUGUGCAUGCCACUGACAUACCAGACAUAUGUGUAAAAUAGCAUCUGCAAGGCAUGUAUUCUUAUGUAUUUUAUAAAUUCAGAGACUGGAUUUUUGGAUUGAUAGUAGCC
This 397-nucleotide long non-coding RNA is filed under the name Bos taurus (domestic cattle). RNAcentral describes it as "long non-coding RNA NONBTAT028861". The record is from RNAcentral. Lineage: Eukaryota; Metazoa; Chordata; Mammalia; Artiodactyla; Bovidae.